GUGCUCGCUUCGGCAGCACAUAUACUAAAAUUGGAACGAUAUAGAGAAGAUUAGCAUGGCCCCUGCGCAAGGAUGAUACACAAAUUUUGAAGCGUUCCAUAUUUUU
RNAcentral lists this small nuclear RNA (106 nucleotides) under Sciurus vulgaris (Eurasian red squirrel). The record is from RNAcentral. Lineage: Eukaryota; Metazoa; Chordata; Mammalia; Rodentia; Sciuridae.